UACGGGGGGCAGCAGUGGGGAAUAUUGCACAAUGGGCGAAAGCUGAUGCAGCGACGCCGCGUGAGGGAUGACGGCCUUCGGGUUGUAAACCUCUUUCAGCAGGGACGAAGCGCAAGUGACGGUACCUGCAGAAGAAGCACCGGCUAACUACGUGCCAGCAGCCGCGGUAAUA
RNAcentral lists this ribosomal RNA (172 nucleotides) under uncultured Rhodococcus sp. Its description in RNAcentral is "partial 16S ribosomal RNA". It matches the Rfam family "Bacterial small subunit ribosomal RNA", at positions 340 to 525 of the family's 1533-position model. Lineage: Bacteria; Bacillati; Actinomycetota; Actinomycetes; Mycobacteriales; Nocardiaceae. The record is from RNAcentral.